CAGUCGCCACGGGAAUACGAGGGGUUCAAGCGUUAUUCGGAUUGAUUGGGUGUAAAGGGUGUGCAGACGGCUUAUUAAGUCACUUGUUAAAUUCUUCGGCCUAACUGAAGGUCUGCAAGUGAUACUGAUGAGCUAGAGGGUGGAAGAGAGAAGUGGAAUUCUCGGAGUGGCGGUAAAAUGCGUAGAUCUCGAGAGGAACACCAAUGGCGAAGGCAGCUUCUUGGUCCAUUCCUGACGUUCAUACACGAACGCGUGGGGAGCAAACAGGAUUAGAUACCCCCGUAGUCCCUGUCUCUUAUAC
This 301-nucleotide ribosomal RNA is filed under the name uncultured bacterium. RNAcentral describes it as "partial 16S ribosomal RNA". It matches the Rfam family "Bacterial small subunit ribosomal RNA", at positions 509 to 807 of the family's 1533-position model. The record is from RNAcentral.